This 209-nucleotide long non-coding RNA is filed under the name Solanum tuberosum (potato). RNAcentral describes it as "long non-coding RNA (STUB_LNC003768)". Lineage: Eukaryota; Viridiplantae; Streptophyta; Magnoliopsida; Solanales; Solanaceae. The record is from RNAcentral.
CGUAGUUCAAAACAAAAGGAUAAAAUUUUGAACAAAAUGAUUACAAGCAAAUGAACAAUUACAAGGAAAUAACAUAAACACAAAUUGAAGCUUCACACAUAAUAUCUCUUGACAGCAUCUGAGUUGAUUGGUUUCGGCCAUUCGGUGCCAUCCAUCUCCGACAGGACCAAGGCACCUCCAGAUAAUACUUUGCGAACCAUGUAAGGUCC